AUGCAGUCGAGCGCCCCGCAAGGGGAGCGGCUAUACGGGUGCACUAACGCGUGGGAACGUACCUUUUGCUACCGAAUAACUCAGGGAAACUUGUGCUAAUACCGUAUGUGCCCUUCGGGGGAAAGAUUUAUCGGCAAAGGAUCGGCCCGCGUUGGAUUAGCUAGUUGGUGAGGUAAAGGCUCACCAAGGCGACGAUCCAUAGCUGGUCUGACAGGAUGAUCAGCCACACUGGGACUGAAACACGGCCCAGACUCCUACGGGAGGGAGCAGUGGGGAAUAUUGCACAAUGGGCGCAAGCCGGAUCCAGCCAUGCCGCGUGAGUGAUGAAGGCCCUAGGGUUGUAAAGCUCUUUCACCGGUGAAGAUAAUGACGGUAACCGGAGAAGAAGCCCCGGCUAACUUCGUGCCAGCAGCCGCGGUAAUACGAAGGGGGCUAGCGUUGUUCGGAUUUACUGGGCGUAAAGCGCACGUAGGCGGACUUUUAAGUCAGGGGUGAAAUCCCGGGGCUCAACCCCGGAACUGCCUUUGAUACUGGAAGUCUUGAUUAUGGUAGAGGUGAGUGGAAUUCCGAGUGUAGAGGUGAAAUUCCUAGAUAUUCGUGAGGAACACCGGUGGCGAAGGCGGCUCACUGGACCAUUACUGACGCUGAUGUGAAAGAACGUGGGUAGCAAACAGGAUUACAUACCCUGGUACUCCACGCCGUAAACGAUGAAUGUUAGCCGUUGAGGAAUUUACUCUUCUGUGGCGCAGCUAACGCAUUAAACAUUCCGCCUGGGGAGUACGCCUCGCAAGAUUAAAACUCAAAGGAAUUGACGGGGGCCCGCACAAGCGGUGGACCAUGUGAUUUAAUUCGAAGCAACGCGCAGACCCUUACCAGCCCUUGACAUACCGGUCGCGGACACAGAGAUGUGUCUUUCAAUUCAGCUGGACCGGAUACAGGUGCUGCAUGGCUGUCGUCAACUCGUGUCGAGAUAUGUUGGGUUAAGUCUCGCUACUAGCGCAACCCUCGCCCUUAGUUGUCAGCAUUUAGUUGGGCACUCUCAGGG
RNAcentral lists this ribosomal RNA (1045 nucleotides) under Brucella cytisi. RNAcentral's name for it is "bacterial SSU rRNA". It matches the Rfam family "Bacterial small subunit ribosomal RNA", at positions 55 to 1146 of the family's 1533-position model. The record is from RNAcentral. Lineage: Bacteria; Pseudomonadati; Pseudomonadota; Alphaproteobacteria; Hyphomicrobiales; Brucellaceae.